UGGCUGUGGAGAACUAAUUAAACCAAACUUGGAAAUAGUACAAUUCUAGGGGAACAUCUCCUUCCCCUGUCCACUCUCAUAUCUUGAAGAGUUGGCUUUACAAAGUCUAAGUCUCUGUCUCUGAAGUUCUGGGACCCAUCGUUUAGAAGUGGUUCCCACUUCCUUCCGGGGAAGACCUUUGGAGAAUCCUUCUCUCCUUGCCUAUCAAGUGCUGUGGAUGCCACCAUCCACACUGCCAUGGGACUCACAGAGGCAGGGAAGCUAAACAGAAGCUUCUAGGUGAAGUUUGCAUGGAGUUUGGUUUGCAGUAGAGAGUGAACUGUGUGCGAGUCCAGGGUGGAGUAGCGAUGGCCCUGGGAGUGUGUACUGCGUCCUCCACCAUCGACCCUACCCCAGCAUCUCCCUAGUUCUCUCCUCUGGGCCAGCUCCUGCUGAAGUAACAAGCUUCUCUCAGCCACUGUCAAAUGAAUCAAAGAAUAGCUUUUAGAGGAAUUAUAAAAUGUCAUAAAUGAAGAUUAGAGGGUUUUUUGUGGUAGAGGUCAGGGGGUGGAGUUGAAUAGAGUCUUUAUUAACAUGAAUUUCAUCUGCUUCUUUAAAGUUCUAGGGUAUAUGUGUAGGAUGUACAGGUUUGUUGCAUAGGUUAACAUGUGCCAUGGUGGUUUGCGAUGGUUAGAGUUUUAGAGUUUGGGUUUCUCCCUUAUUGUUGGGAUUAUUUAAUUGCUUAUUAAACAUCCAUCAGGUGUUGGCAGCAUAUGGAAGAUGUAGGGAGAUUUCCUGGGCAAUGUAUUUAUACUCUUAUCAGAAAUUACAGAACAGCCAGGCACAGUGGCUGAGGCCUGUAACCCCGGAACUUUGGGAGGCUGAGGCGGGCAGAUCACCUGAGGUUAGGAGUUCAAGACCAGCCUGGUCAACAUGGUGAAACCCCUCCUCUACUAAAACUACAAAAAUUAGCUGGGCAUGGUGGUAUGUGCCUGUAAUCCCAGCUUCUAGGGAGGCUGAGGCAGAAUUGUUGAAGCCAGGAGGCCGAGGCAGAGGUUGCAGUGAGCCAAGAUGGCACCAGUGCAUUGCAGCCCGGGUGACAGAGCAAGACUCUGUCUCAAAAAAAAAAAAAAAAAAAAGACAAUGCAGAGGUGUAACACAGAGAUGUAUCAGGUAUGGUUAGACAAACCUUCCCUGUGAGUUUUUAAGAGCAUUUCAUUUCAUUUCUUCUUUGCCCUUGGGUCUGUUCUUCUGAUCUGUCAGCCUUAUGUCAGUAAAAAUGAUAAAAGUAAACAGCAGAGUAUUGCAUUAUAUCAUCUCUGAACAUGUGGAGUAUAACGAAGGCUUUAAAAUAACAGAGAGAGAGUUUGACAAAACAAAUUUUAGAGCAUGUGCAAGUAAAAGUAAUAGUGACUGAGAAAAAUAAAGUGAAAAAAUGGAGAAAAACAUAAAACUUAAGUAUUAUUGACUUUUUGGCAAAAGAUGGGACUUGGGUGCCCAAUACUUCACUUGACAGCUUCAGGCUUUUUGAAGAGGAGGGUAAGUCUAUGAAAACACAACUAGAGGGCCGGGAGCAGUGGCUCAUGCCUAUAAUCCCAGCACUUUGGGAGGCCGAGGCAGGCGGAUCAUCUGAGGUCAGGAGUUCAAGACCAGCCUGGUCAACAUGGUGAAACCCCAUCUCUACUAAAAAUACAAAAAAUUAGCUGGCUGUGGUGGUGGGCCCCUGUAGUCCCAGCUACUUGGGAGGCUGAGGCAGGAAAAUCACUUGAAGCUGGGAGGCGGAGGUUGCAGUGAGCUGAGAUCAUGCCAUUGCACUCCAGCCUGGGCAACAAGAGCAAAACUCUGUCUCAAAAAAAAAAAAAAGAAAAGAAAAGAAAAAUGAAAAAGAAAGAAAAGAAGACACGACUAGAAACACAGAGAAGUCAGCAUCCUUUUUUUUUUUAAAAGGACAGAAGUCACCAUAAUAUGGGAAGCUGCUCAAACAUGGCAAUCAUUGUUCUAUCUUCCGUGAUUAGCUGAGUGCCUCUAUGAUGAACCUGUGUCAGUUAGAAAGAGCAUUGGCUGCAAGUAACAAAGGCCCCAGUUCUAGCAGCUUAAACAAGUUAGUUUAUUUCUCUCUUUUGUAUAAAUAGAAGGUGGGCAGUCCAGAACUGAAAUUUCAACUCUGCUUCACAAAGUCCUCAGAGACUUGGGCUCUUCAACUUCCUGCUCUGCUGUCUUUAGAGUGAAACCUUUGUCAUCCAAUAUGGUGGUUAGAGCUCAAGUUAUCACAUCCAGGUUUCCAGGAGCAUAAUGAAGGAAGGGACGGAGAGGAAGGGGGCAAAGGGUAUGCUUUGGCUUUCUUUUAGGAAGGUUCCUGAACCUGUAUGACACUCCUAUUUCCCACUGGUCAGAAAUUAGUGAUAUGGACACAUCUAGUUGCAAAGAAAACCAAGAAACAUGGCCACAAGCCCAGCUAGAAAUUUGGGUUGUAUUACUAUGAAAGCAGAUAAUAAAAUUGCCAUUGUCAUUUUUACAUCUGAGUUUUCAAUGGAAGAAUAUGUCAAUAAUAUAUACUGUGUAGCCUUCUUAAGUAUCAAAGUAAGACUGCCAUUAUAUGCAAUGUAAAAAGAUGUGACUACUUACAAUUUCAGGUUGGUAAUUAAGUAAUCCAACUUCCUUCAUGAUUCUGAAGAGUCUGAAUGGCUCUUCUCAAGGGUGACCUAAUCGUUAUUGAGUUUCCACUGCAAAUGGAAAUAAGAGACAGGCACAACUGGAUAGAAAUCCUGGCUCUCCCAUUUUCUAGCUGUGUGACUGAGCAGACUAAGCUCUCCAAGCCUCCAAUCCAUCCCCUCAAUGGGCAUGACACCUAUGCCUAAGGCUGUUGUUAGGACUAGACAGCAAUACAGGUGUGAAAUAUUUGACAUGUAAGUAUAGUUAACACAAUUAAUAAGCACUUUCUUCUGUUCCCUUCUUGUUUAAUAUACAUCAUCCUUUCUCAUCUGGAAGCUGCUUUUUUGCUCUCUAUGUCUUUCCAAUAAGUCUUUUCCUUUCUGGUGUGGAUCUUUAGCAACCAAUGCACAUAAAGGGGUAGUAACAACAUACCCAAGAUAUACCACCAACUACAGCAAUUGCCAUGCUGACAUCAAAAAUGGGAAAUUCACUAUAGCCAGGAAAACAUUCUAUGGACUAGUGUUCAACAAGAAACAUACAGAACAUGCACAGCUAUAUCUAAGAUUUUAAGAAAUAGACAUGCAAAUGAGAAGAGGCAUAAGCAUUUAUAUUUUUAUGAGCAACAGAUCAUCAUAGCUGAACCUUAAAUUUCCUGGAAGAGCUGAAGCAAAUAUGGUCUCUAAACUAGUUGCACAUUGCAGAAGACUUGAGGGGGUCUAGAUGGACAGAGGACCAGCCUUCAGGCAUCAGGCGCCCAGCCUGGCCCCCGUGAUUUCUCCCCACGCUUGCCCUUGCUAACAUUCCAUUUUUGUUUCUCAUCAGUCAUGAGGCUCACUAGGAGGAGUGUAUUUAUACUUACUGCAGUUGUUUUCUAGGGCUGCCAUAAAAACGUACCAUAAACUAGGUGGCUUAAAACAGUAAACAUUUAUUCUCUCAUAGUUCUGGAAUCUGGAAGUCUGAAAUCAAGAUAUCAUCAGGGCCACUUCCCUCUGAGAAAUCUUGCGUGGGAUCCUUCCUUGCUGCCUGCCUUCUGGUGAUGGCAGGCAAACCUUGGUGUUCCUUGGCUUGUAGCCGCAUCCCUUUAGUCUCUGCUUUCAUCGUCACAUGACAUUUUCCCUGCCUGUGUGUCUUCUCCCCUUCUUAUAAGAGACCAGUCAUACUGGUUUAGACCCUACCCUAGUAACUUCAUCUGAAUUGAUUACAUCUACAAAGACUAUUUUCAAGUAAGUCUUACUUGAUUAUCACAAUCCCAGGUGUGGGGGUUAGGAUUUCAACAUAUCUUUCUAAGGAGCUCAAUUUGAUUCAAAACACAGAAUUUUGUGAAAUUAAAAAUAAAACAAAUUUGAGGUUGCCCUUAUGCAGAUUUCACUCUUAAUUGCUUCCUGAUAAUCUUGAUUAGCAGAAAAGAAUGGAGUGGAGUCAUAUGGUGCUGACACCGGAAGUCAGAACUCUGAGUUUUGGGAGUGUCUUGAAUGUGAGUGUCACUAUUAUCAUAGAGGUCCCCCAAAAUGAAAGGUUUUCCUCGUGCUUAGGGGUGAAGCUGGGUGUUCAAGGGAGGGAAGAGAUGGUCAGGAAGUUGCACAGGUGAUCAGAGUCAGGAAUUGGGUUGUGCUAGGGCAACCUGAGAGUCUGUGUGUGUGCUUAAGAGUGAUUGUGUAUGUGCACAUGCAUGACUGUAUAAGCUUGUGUGUGUGUGUGUGUGUGUGUGUGUGUGUGUGUUGUGCUAGGGCAACCUGAGAGUCUGUGUGUGUGCUUAGAAGUGAUUGUGUAUGUGCACAUGCAUGACUGUAUAAGCUUGUGUGUGUGUGUGUGUGUGUGUGUGUGUGUGUUGUGCUAGGGCAACCUGAGAGUCUGUGUGUGUGCUUAGAAGUGAUUGUGUAUGUGCACAUGCAUGACUGUAUAAGCUCGUGUGUGUGUGUGUGUGUCUGUGUGUGUGUGACUGUGUAUAUAUGCAGUGAACUAGCAUGUGUGAAGUUUCUGAGAAGGAAAUAAUGAGAACAUUGAGUUGUUAACAGCAGCUAGGAGGUGGGUAGGGAGAAAAGACUAUCACAGGGCAAAGCAUCUAACUACACAAAGCUAGGAUGUGACUUUCUGGUGCAAGGGAACACAGAAGAUUCUACAAAAUUAGAAACCUACAAGUCUGUGCCAAGUCUAUAUCCGGUUGCCUUAUGCUUCCCUUCCUUCAUUAUUUAGCAUGAGUGGCUAUAGGCCAGAUCCAAUUGUAGUUUUUGCCUCUGACUUUUUUUUUUUAAAUGAGAAACAAACACUAGUAUUUUUUAUUUUGUCAUAUGUAGAAAACUAUAUCUCUUCUUCCCCUUUUCUUGAUUCUGCUCUAAUAUAAGAACCACCAAACAGAUUGAGAUCAAUCUUGCCAAGAAAGUUUUACUAUAAAGAUGAAAAUGCACAGAGGAAUGUUUUAGUCUGAAAAUGUAAGGUAGUUAGAUAUCUACCAAAAGUAGAAAUCAACAAUUUUAAUGUAGAAAUCAACACCAAUUUUAAUGCAUGGCCACAUUUUGUUGUAAUUAUUUUAUUUGCUAUUAGCAAUGAAUCUCAAGCUGCUGAGCAACCAAAAACCUAUUUGGGGACUCAGUACCAGUGAAUGAGCCGUUAUCUUUACCUAUUCCACUUAUCCUCACAUCCUUCUCCAAGUCCUUUGAUGUCACAUUCAAAGAGUUUGACUGUAAUGAAAUAACGCAAAAGAACAAGACAGAAUGAAAAGCUUUGAAGCUAUUUUUCCUGGAAAAAAAAUUGUGACGAUUCCCAAGAACAUGGUACACCAAAGGGAGAUGAAUUCCCUGCAGUCUUGCUGUAAAAUAAAUAUGAAUCAGAAUAUGAUGCCCUGCACGUGGAAGACACUAAAUAAGAAGUUGUUAAUGGUGAUGGUGGUGGGAACAACAUCUUCAGAUCUGGAAUAUCUUGAAUUUAAAAGAAUAUUUGUAUAGUAGAUUUGAAUUUCCAAAGGUGGCCACAAUUAUAGGGCCAUCACAAAAAUAUCUCUUUCCACAUAAUGUUCUUACAAUGUGACAUUGACUCACCUUUAUUGAGAGGUUGGGUCUAUGUUUCCUUCCUCUCAUCCUAAGCAGAACUUUGUAGCUAUCUUGGCCAAUGGAGGAUGGCAGAAGUGAUACUGCGUGACUGCCAAAGCUAGGUCAUAGAGCGCAGUAUGGCUACCAUGUGGUUCUGCCUCCCUCCUUUUCUCCUCUCUCUCUAUUUUUCUCCUUAUCUCUCUCCCCUUUUCUCUCUCUUCUCUUUCUCUCUCUCAAUGCUUGUCCCUGGAGCCCAACCACCAUGAUCUGAGGAAGGCUAGGCCACAAGGAGAGGCCAUGGGUGGGUGUUGCAGCUGGCAGUGCUAGUGAGGCCCCCAAAUGACAGCAAGCAUCAGUGGUCACACAUGUGAUUAAAUGAGAGUUCAGAUGAUUCCAGCCUCAACCUGCAAGUCUUCCAGUUGAGGACUCAGGCCCAGUGCCCUGUCUGGAUUUCUUAUCAGCAGGAACUUCUAUCGUUUAAGCCCAUAACUUUUAGGACUGUGCAGCAGUGGCUUACCUCCUGGGAGGAUUUAGGGAUGCAUCAGAUUCUCCCAUUCAGGGAAGCGAGAGCUUCUGCUUCUUGCAGAGUUAUCUUGCUGAAAUGAUGCAAGAGGUCUCUGUCCUGGUGCUCCUUCUUGACCCAGGUCUCAUCAUUGCCGGGCUCAGCCACUGUCUUCAAACUGAUGCAUCUCAGUUAUGGUUAGACUUCCACAGUCUUACCAAAAUCAUUUUUGUAGGUCACAUAGUUUACUUAUUUUGAAUUUUUGAUCAUCAUGUUGAAUAAAUAAGUGGUUCCCAACAUUUAAUGUGAAUACAAAUCACCUGGGGUCUUGUUAAACUGUAAAUUCUGCUUUCAUAGCUUUGAAGUCGGGCCUGAGAUCCUGCUUCUCUAAUUCUUAGGUGAUGCUGAAGCUACAAGUCUGUGAACCACACUUGGACCAUCAUAGGUAUAGAGGAUUGUAUGGACAAAGCAAAAUUUUAUGUAACUCAUCCCCAAGGAAGGAAACCAGGGAUAGCACUUAAUGUCAUUGAGCAUCUACAGCAUGCUAAGAACCUUCCUUAAGUAUUUUAUAUAUAUCACUGUAGUCCUCAGAAUACUCCUCCAAAAUAAAUACAAUUUAUUUUCCUCACUUUAUAAAGAAGCGAAGGUUCAUACAGUUUAUGUAAGUGGAACAGCCAGGACUUAAACCCAGAACUCACUACAAAAUUGUGUCUUUGCCACUGUGCAUUCAUCUUUCAUGAUUUCAAAGCCUGGGAUUGGUUCUUCUAGUUAUCAUUUCUCUUUGAAUAAAGAGGUGCCUCUGUAGCAGUGCUGCCCAAUAAACUUUAUGCAGCAAUAGAAAUGUUCUCUGUCUGUCCUGUCCAGUAUGAUAGGGACACGUGGCUCCUGAGAAUUGAGGUAUGGCUAGCACGACUGCAGAACUAAAUUUUAUGUUUAAUUUUAAUAAAAAAUGUAAAUAGCCAUCUAUGGCUAGUGGCUGUGGCAAGUGGCUAAUUGCUGAUGGCUACCGUACAGGACAGCAUAGCUCCAUAGAAAGGAUCUCAAAGGACAUUGGGACAUGGGACAGUAGGUUUGAAAGGUGCCUUGAUUUUCACUGUGGAAUGUGUGCCAUGGCCCUCGCACACAUUCAGCAUCUUAUUCUUUUCUUUUUUUGAGAGGGACCCGAGCUCUGUAGCCAGGCUGGAGUACAAUGGCACACGAUCUCGGGUCAGUGCAACCUCCACCUCCCAGGUUCAAGUGAUUCUCCUGCCUCAGCCUCCUGAGUAGCUGGGAUUACAGAUGCACACCACCACGCCCAGUAAGAUCGCUACAGAAGUUUUGGAAAUAUGUCCAGACAUGGAGGUGCUGCAGAGGAAGGAGGGAGAAUAUGCCUUUCUGCAGAUCUUUCUUGGAAGAGAGGUAAGUUUCUCCAAAAGUACUCAGAUGAUUUCCCCUCAGGUGUCUCUGGCUGGAAUUAGGUCACGUAACCAUUGUUGAACAAAAAGACAAGGAAAAUAAGACUUUUCUUAUACUCAGUCACUCCGGGGGCUGGCAGUAAGGUCAUCUUUUUCCAGGUCCAUGAGCUGUGUUAAAUGGUGGGAGAAUACCUGAAUAAAACUGGGGUUCUGUCAGAAGGAAAGGAAGGAGGAGGUAACCAGUGUGUACCUCAGGACCAAACCUCAAAGGGAGUUUGGGAUGAGGUAACUGUGAAGCAUUUGGUUUGGUAAACGCAGCCUGGAGGUUAUCAGGGCCAGUGGCCUCCUUCUAGCGGCAUGGCCGUGGGUGGCUCUGAGUCUCUAGGGAAGUCCCACAUUGAGCUCAGUGCCACACCCAGUGCAUUUUGGGACUGAGAGCACUGGUGGGCUGAUGCUGAUGAGCCUGCUGUGGCAUCCCCAAUUCCUCAUGGCCUUGGCAGGGCACACAGACAUGCAGAGGUUCCCACAUGCCCUGGCAAGAGGUCAAAGGAGCUGCACAGUCCAGCAGACCAGCACAGAGUUUGGAGUAAAAUGUUGUGAGUCUGCCUUUCUCUGGGAGUAUUUCCAGCUCCUUUGUGUCUUUGCUACAGCCUGGAGCUGAGCUUUGCUCAUCCCCAUGAAGACUCCAUUGUGUCAGGGCACUGCUUGUGCCCAUACCUGAGUCGCUUUUUGCUGCAUUUGAGGAACACCCAUCUGGCAUGCCCAGUACCUUCAGGGCUUCACCCCAGCCCUCUGUACAGAAUCAAAGUCCUGGGUACAAUUUGGCUUUAGUAGCUCUUCCUCCACUUCUAUAAAAACAUCUAAUGAAGCCAUGGCCAACAUCCCCCAGCACCAAAUCUCUUUACUGUUAAUAGAUCAUUCUGAGUAGCAUCCUCUUAUUUUGCCUUUCUUUAAAUAGACUCAAGCUAUUUCUGCACGCUCAGAGUGAGGUGUCCGAAGUAGCUGAUACUGCACCUGUGCCACCUCACUUCUUCUGUCUCCUGGUGAUAGUCACAACUUUCCUAGUGAAACAAGAAAGCACCCAGCCGUGACCCCAUCUCCUGUAUUCAGGCAGGAACCACUUACCCUGGCUUCGAAGUCCCUCCUGCCAUGCACAUUGGAAAUCCCCAGGGCUGAGCCUCCGCCGCAGCCUUUCCUGAAUUGUUGUGUAGCUUCCUCAGACUUCCUGCCUGCCCCCUGUCCUUUCUCCUCAAAGCCUUGUUUCUACAGUCACUUUCCCAUCAUUAUUCACGUCAUGCCCCACAUUCCUCCUGAGUUUCCUGAAUUCAGUGGGAAGGCAUGUGAUCUCAUCUUCACCUUCUGUGACCCUCAACCCUACUCAUCUCUGCCUAUCAGAUCCCCCUCCCAUUGACAGAUUCCGUUCCUAAGAAUGUUGUCUCACCACUCCCUUGAGUGUCCUUCUCCCCUUCCUUGGUGCCACAUUCCCUGUAACACAAUAGACCAAUCUGUUUAUUAGAAAAGUUUUAACUCAGCCCUGAUGGAUGACCCAGGUCAAAGUUUCCAAAGUCCAGUCUACCCACUAGAGUCUGAUCUGUAUCAGAACUACCUGGGGAGUUUUUGAAAAAGGCACAGGUGCGGUGGCUCACGCAUGUAAUCCCAGAAGUUUGGGAGGCGGAGGAGUGCGGGUCACUUGAGGUCAGGAGUUUGUGACCAGCUUGGCCAACAUGGCGAAACCCUGUCUCUACUAAAAAUACACAAAUUAGCCAGGCAUGGUGGUGCAUACCUGUAAUCCCAGUUACUCGGGAGGCAGGAGAAUCGGUUAAACCUGUGGCGGAGGUUGCAGUGAGCUGAGAUCAUGCCACUGCACUACAGCCUGGGUGACAGAACAAGACUCCAUCUCCAAAAAAAAAAAAAAAGAAAAAGCAGACUCGUAGACCCACGUCCUGACUAUUGAACUAAAGCCUAGGGGAAAGAGGUGGGGAGAGAGUCUGUGUUUGUUUUAGUAUACUCCCCGGGCGAUCCAGCUGAUCCAGGAGUGGGAAACGCUGGCUGGGUGCCUCUUGAGUUCUCAUGUAGCCACUGGUUCCAUAUGACUGUCUAAAUUCCCAUGUCAAAAGCAUUCUUGUCAUGGGGGUUAAGUUGGGAACUGAAGCCUCCUUCCAGCUCUGGACUAACACAGUUCCCUGGGGAAACAGUGUGGGAGAGGAGAUUCACCUGCAAGCCAGGCCACGGGUCCAUAUACUCUGCACUGCCAUUUGGUGGGGUCAGUAAUAAGGUGCUGCAGACAUUUGUGUUUGUUUAUCUGAGAGCUAGGUGUUUAUGGAUUUGGGUUAAUGAUAAUGCCUAGAAUGGUGUCAUGGGUUAGACAAUUGAGGAAGCAUUAACUUAAUUAUCAUCAACAAACAACCAUUGAGUGUACCUUGUAUGGGACGCUGGGGCUUAGUAAUAGAGAUUCAAAAAUAAUUAAACACCUUCACCUGGAGUCACUUACAAGGUAGCUGGGAAAGAUCACACAGGCUUCUAAAAAUGUGCUGAUAUAAUUAUUUUCUAAGAAAAAUUGGAAUUUAAUUGUUUUAGGCUUAUUUUUCUUUUAACUCAUUCACUCCAGAGUUUCUAAGGGGCUGUGAUAUACCAGGUAUAUCACAAGGGGAGGGAGAGUGGUAAGAAUACAGAAGUGAGAAGACAUGGGCCCUGUAACAGAGAGAGGUACAUUACGCACAAUAUGAUCAGGGCCACACAGAGAAACCUACUAAUUCCUGUGGGAGCACAGAGAAGGGAGCUCUUUCACUCUGAGGUUCAGGAAACUAGUUACUUGCAUCUGCCCAAGAAUAAACUAUAAUACAUACUAGCAACUGCACUGUAAUAUGUACUAAAUAAUAUGUAAACUAUAAUUGGUACUAGUGACUGGACUAGGCACUUUGAACAUGUUACCUCAUUUAAUAAAAUCUAAUUUCUCUUUCCCAGACCCUUGUUAGGUAUGCAUUAUUACCAUAGGUUACAUGUUACAUAGAUUCUCCCUUGAUGGUAGGGGAUGCUUGAUGUUGAGAGGAGACAAAAUACCGUCCCUGCAACUCCCAAGCAACUAUUUGCAUACACUGAUUUGCAGAGGAGGCCCCGUAGUGCUCAGUUGGAAGAAGGACUUAAACUCAGUUGGGAACAACGAACUCUCAGGUGGGAACAGUUGGAGAGCUCUCAGGAGGAAACGUGCCAAAAGCGGAACAGGUUUCUGGCCCACUGAGUUGACUCAGUUAAAGGUUGACCAAGGUUAAAGGCUUAGAGAGUACGUGGGGUUUCCGCAUACAGGUGUACUCUGUAUUUAUAAUCAAGCACAAUCUGGAGAAGAAAAGCUGCAGAACUCUGAAGUUCAGUAAGCAUUGUUUGGAGGCAAUCCUUCAUAGACCAAAAGAUGAGAGCUUUCUAUUUUGUUUCAAAAAGAACUGUUAAGAAACAGUGAAGAUAUUGCCCAAAGGCCUGAGCAUGGAGGAACCAGAUGGCGGCAAGGAUGGCGGUGGAUUUUUCUCCUGACUGGCAGGCAGUUGCUCUAACUGGCAGUGAAAGUCAGUUACCUUCAGGUGACUGAGAUGAUGGUAGCAGUAACAAAAAGGGCAAGCUUCCAGCCUCCGGGUGAACUCUGUGGACCAGCUGGGUCUGGACUUAGAGUCUGUUCAGCAACCUCCCUUAAAAGUUCCCACAAUACUCGCAGAGGGAGCAUCUGUUAGAAACGACGACGACAUACUAAACAGCCCCUAAACUGAUUCGGGAAGGGACAGGGUGAAGGCGUGUAUCAUCUCAAUGAUCCUUGCAAUAACUCUGUGAGUUAUGUGCCAUUAUAAUCAUCCUCAAGUCAGGGAUUUAUGUUAAGUGCCUAGAUUUUUACUCCCAGCAUCAUGGAGCUUGAGCUCUUUGGACUCCAUACAGAUGAGAAAACUGAAAGUUAUUGCUCAGGUCACAGAACCAGGAAAGAGCAGAGGCAGGAUUCAAACUCAGAUUCUUCUGUCUACAAAUGUAUUCCUCUUGUGAGAUGAUAUUUGAAUUGAGACUUUAUAAUUGGAUAAGGGGUUAAAGGCAGAUCAUUCCAGAGACAGUUGCAACUAAGCUUGCAAAGAUGAAAAGAGCAGGGCUAGGCCAUGCAGUUUAUAAUUCAGUAAGGCUGAUGAUGGACCACAUAGAGGGAGUCUCAACAGGUAAGCCUGGUAAGGCAGCUUAGUGGUAGCCCUGUGUGCUCUGCUAAGGCAGAGCUUCUAGUCCUUUCUUAACCUACUCUCCCAUCUUUUGACAAACACACAAAUCUGCUUUCCUCCUUUACAGUUAUUUAAAAUAACAAAUACAGUGAAUAUUUUGACAAAGAAAAAUCACAGAAUGAAAAAUUUUUAAUGUGGAUUUUCAAAUUACUAUAUUCUUGAGUCCACUGAGUAUUUUCUAUCUCACCUCCCUGGAGGUAGAGCUGUGCAUCAGUCAAGGAGAUGCAGAAGAGGCCAUCUAUGGAGGCAAUGAGGAAGGUGAAGGAACUGAGUCAAGAGCCCUUUUAAAGGAAGAGCUCAUGAGGGCUCUCAUGAGAGAGAACUAUUAGAUUUUCAAGCUACCUUGAUUUUGAGGACUUCUGCUUUUUGAAUCAGGAAGGUGCGAUAUUCCAACCCUAUGUGCACGGAGAGUUCAUUUCUAAGUUCAGGAAUCGAUCAAAUAAGUGAAUUCAAUCUAAGUUCAAUCAAAGAAGCAAAAUUUUGUCCCAAGAAAUACAUUGCCAUUCACAAUAUCCAUAGAUGUUUUGUGUCAAAAUGAGGGAAUCUGACUUUAAUGAUUUUUCCUGCAAAGCAAAAGGACUCUUUCCUAGAUGCAUAUUGAUUUCUAUAAUAAUUGCUGAUAAUUGUUAAACUUUUAUUGUAUGCUAGACACUGUACAAAGUACUUUGGGUGUAUCAUCUCAAUAAUCCUUGCAAUAAUUCCAUGAAUUAUGUGCCAUUAUUAUCAUCCUCAUUUAGAGAUAAAGGAACAGAGGCUCAGAAAGAAGUGACCUGCAUAAGGUCACACAGCUGAUAAGUUGUAGAACUCAGGCCUGUCUAAUAUCAGUCACUCUGAAUGUCUGAGAACCACUCAAAAGAGAAUUCAGGGACCUAUAGAGUGAGCUGGGAUGUGGUCGUAUCCUCAUCUGUAUCUCAGGCAGGAGAUCCAGGCAGCAUCAAAGAGUAAAUACUCCUUGGGGUUAGGGUGCAUCAUUUCUGCAAGGAGACUCAGCCUCUGCUGAAGGUGGCCUCUUCAGUUCUUUAACUUAGAAUAGACAAAGCAUUCAGUUCCCAUUUUCAAAGCUUCCCCUGAAUACUGUUCAACUGAGGUCCAGAUGGUAUACAGAAUAGGUCUAGGUGCUUGCUGGCCAAAAAGCUAAUUUCUGAAUUGUAUGGCUUGUCCCCAAGCUUGAUAGUAGAGAUGCUGGGAAGGCCAGGACAAUCCCAGAAACAGAGUCUCAAAGGAAACCAAGAAACUUGUCCACUGAGACCUCUGUCUCGGUGUCCCUAGCCAUUAAAUGACUUUUAUGAAACAGAAAAUUAAUAAGGGUAUCCAGGACUUGAACUCAGAUGCGGAACAAGUAAACUCAAUAAAUAUUUAUAGAACUCUCCAUUUUAAAUACACAAAAUAUACAUUCUCCACCUUAAAUACACAAAAUAUUGAUCGGCCAUUAUUAAUACCCAUUUUUAGAAUAAAGCUACAUUCCCGUUUUCUCUCCCUCUUUUUCUUCCUCUUUCUUCCUCUCCUUCACUCCUUUUUUUCUUUCUUUCU
This is a non-coding RNA of Callithrix jacchus (white-tufted-ear marmoset), 13324 nucleotides long. The record is from RefSeq and is a predicted model, not a curated record. Lineage: Eukaryota; Metazoa; Chordata; Mammalia; Primates; Cebidae.